This 206-nucleotide ribosomal RNA is filed under the name uncultured Peptostreptococcaceae bacterium. RNAcentral describes it as "partial 16S ribosomal RNA". It matches the Rfam family "Bacterial small subunit ribosomal RNA", at positions 568 to 774 of the family's 1533-position model. Lineage: Bacteria; Bacillati; Bacillota; Clostridia; Peptostreptococcales; Peptostreptococcaceae. The record is from RNAcentral.
UGCGUAGGCGGUCCUACAAGUCAGAGGUGAAAGGCUACGGCUCAACCGUAGUAAGCCUUUGAAACUGUAGGACUUGAGUGCAGGAGAGGAGAGUGGAAUUCCCAGUGUAGCGGUGAAAUGCGUAGAUAUUGGGAGGAACACCAGUUGCGAAGGCGGCUCUCUGGACUGUAACUGACGCUGAGGCACGAAAGCGUGGGGAGCGAACA